CGCUCGCUGUCAAAACGAUGGCCGUAGGAAGCGCGAUAGCAGCAGCGAGCCAAGUGACCUUCGUGCUGCCUAUCGCUUAAACGCAAGCUGAGCGGAGAGAACACAGCUCACACGAAUCUACGAGCCGUCGACGCACCUAGACCACUGGGUGGACAGCGCAGGGCUAGUUUCGGUAUCUGGCAAAUAGCAUCGCCUUAUUUCUGGUGGCCGAUACCCGCCGUGGUUGCUCAGUGGCUAUGGUGUUGGGCUGCUGAGCACGAGGUCGCGGGAUCGAAUCCCGGCCACGGCGGCCGCAUUUCGAGGGGGGCGAAAUGCGAAAACACCUGUGUACUUAGAUUUAUGUGCACGUUAAAGAACCCCAGGUGGUCGAAAUUUCCGGAGUCCUCCACUACGGCGUGCCUCAUAAUCAGAAAGUGGUUUUGGAACGUAAAACCCCAUAAUUUAAUUUUAAUUUCUGGUGGCCGACGGAAAAUUAAGUACAUUUUGCAUAUUUGGCUCUAACCUUGGGACUUACAAUAAUUAAAGUGUUUAAGAUCACGUAAUUAUGUGUAGAUAGAACAUGUUUCCUGAUGUUUUCUUUUCAGCGUUCUUUUUUUUUUUGUAUUUGGCCGGUUCAAUCGUUGCGUCAACAGGUGUGCCGCUAUCGCGGUUAUCGCUUCGGCUGUCAUUCUGUUUGCUCCUGGCGCUCUCUGCACACGUGCGCGCCUUUGACGUCUACUGCGCGCUGCAAGGUUUUCUUUCUGUAUCGGCCAGUGGUUCCAGCAAAGUAAGGAAAACAGAAGAAAGGCCACACGAGGCGUUCUGCGCGACUCUUACGUUGGCCCAAUGCGGGGAGGGACAGCAGGGCCAUAUUUUUUUUUUUUUCGCGUCCAAGAAAAUGAAAGUCCACAGCCCCAGCACGGACAGCUCCACCUCCCCUGAAUCUGUCUCGUCUGGGUCUGGGUGUGCGGACUGUGCUGUCUUUCAACUGGUCUUGCUUACUGAUAAUUAUUUCCAUAAGUAAUCGCAAAUAACUGUUGCGACCAGCGAUUUGCUUUUGCAAGACUGUUACAUGCAGAGCAAAAGAAAAUGACUUGCUAUUCAGAAAUUGUAAGACGCUUUUUUAUGCAUUGAUGCGCCUACACAAUGUGCAGUUUGUACUAUAGAUACGAGAUGCUCAGCUCUGUAAUAUUGUUUUCUGUAUUGCGUCUCUUGCUGUGCGAAAUUUCCUAAUCAAAAUGCAAAAUAAAGCACAUUUCACUGCUUA
This is a long non-coding RNA of Dermacentor andersoni, 1246 nucleotides long. RefSeq lists it as uncharacterized. The record is from RefSeq and is a predicted model, not a curated record. NCBI's taxonomy places the organism in Eukaryota, Metazoa, Arthropoda, Arachnida, Ixodida, Ixodidae.